UGGGGUAAUGGCCUACCAAGGCGACGACGGGUAGCCGGCCUGAGAGGGCGACCGGCCACACUGGGACUGAGACACGGCCCAGACUCCUACGGGAGGCAGCAGUGGGGAAUAUUGCGCAAUGGGCGGAAGCCUGACGCAGCGACGCCGCGUGAGGGAUGACGGCCUUCGGGUUGUAAACCUCUUUCAGCUCUGACGAAGCGCAAGUGACGGUAGGAGCAGAAGAAGCACCGGCCAACUACGUGCCAGCAGCCGCGGUAAUACGUAGGGUGCAAGCGUUGUCCGGAAUUAUUGGGCGUAAAGAGCUCGUAGGCGGUCUGUCGCGUCGAGUGUGAAAACCCGGGGCUCAGCCCCGGGCCUGCAUUCGAUACGGGCAGACUAGAGUUCGGUAGGGGAGUCUGGAAUUCCUGGUGUAGCGGUGAAAUGCGCAGAUAUCAGGAGGAACACCGGUGGCGAAGGCGGGACUCUGGC
This 468-nucleotide ribosomal RNA is filed under the name uncultured actinomycete. Its description in RNAcentral is "bacterial SSU rRNA". It matches the Rfam family "Bacterial small subunit ribosomal RNA", at positions 253 to 733 of the family's 1533-position model. Lineage: Bacteria; Bacillati; Actinomycetota; Actinomycetes; Actinomycetales. The record is from RNAcentral.